This 92-nucleotide Y RNA is filed under the name Propithecus coquereli (Coquerel's sifaka). RNAcentral's name for it is "Y RNA (ENSPCOG00000004717.1)". It matches the Rfam family "Y RNA". Rfam says of the family: Y RNAs are components of the Ro ribonucleoprotein particle (Ro RNP), in association with Ro60 and La proteins. The Y RNAs and Ro60 and La proteins are well conserved, but the function of the Ro RNP is not known. In humans the RNA component can be one of four small RNAs -- hY1, hY3, hY4 and hY5. Lineage: Eukaryota; Metazoa; Chordata; Mammalia; Primates; Indriidae. The record is from Rfam by way of RNAcentral.
GGCUGGUCCAAUGGCAGUGGGUUAUCAGAACUUUUUAACAUUAAUGUCACUAAAGUUGGUAUACAACCCCCCACUGCUAAAUUUGGCUUUCA